RNAcentral lists this ribosomal RNA (519 nucleotides) under Escherichia coli. Its description in RNAcentral is "bacterial SSU rRNA". It matches the Rfam family "Bacterial small subunit ribosomal RNA", at positions 96 to 610 of the family's 1533-position model. Lineage: Bacteria; Pseudomonadati; Pseudomonadota; Gammaproteobacteria; Enterobacterales; Enterobacteriaceae. The record is from RNAcentral.
GGGAGUGGGGGGGUAGUAUGUCUGGGAAACUGCCUGCAUGGAGGGGGAUAACUACUGGAAACGGUAGCUAAUACCGCAUAACGUCGCAAGACCAAAGAGGGGGACCUUCGGGCCUCUUGCCAUCGGAUGUGCCCAGAUGGGAUUAGCUUGUAGGUGGGGUAACGGCUCACCUAGGCGACGAUCCCUAGCUGGUCUGAGAGGAUGACCAGCCACACUGGAACUGAGACACGGUCCAGACUCCUACGGGAGGCAGCAGUGGGGAAUAUUGCACAAUGGGCGCAAGCCUGAUGCAGCCAUGCCGCGUGUAUGAAGAAGGCCUUCGGGUUGUAAAGUACUUUCAGCGGGGAGGAAGGGAGUAAAGUUAAUACCUUUGCUCAUUGACGUUACCCGCAGAAGAAGCACCGGCUAACUCCGUGCCAGCAGCCGCGGUAAUACGGAGGGUGCAAGCGUUAAUCGGAAUUACUGGGCGUAAAGCGCACGCAGGCGGUUUGUUAAGUCAGAUGUGAAAUCCCCGGGCUA